RNAcentral lists this transfer RNA (74 nucleotides) under Gracilaria urvillei. Its description in RNAcentral is "tRNA-Ile". It matches the Rfam family "tRNA". From Rfam's summary of the family: Transfer RNA (tRNA) molecules are approximately 80 nucleotides in length. Their secondary structure includes four short double-helical elements and three loops (D, anti-codon, and T loops). Further hydrogen bonds mediate the characteristic L-shaped molecular structure. tRNAs have two regions of fundamental functional importance: the anti-codon, which is responsible for specific mRNA codon recognition, and the 3' end, to which the tRNAs corresponding amino acid is attached (by aminoacyl-tRNA synthetases). tRNAs cope with the degeneracy of the genetic code in two manners: having more than one tRNA (with a specific anti-codon) for a particular amino acid; and 'wobble' base-pairing, i.e. permitting non-standard base-pairing at the 3rd anti-codon position. Lineage: Eukaryota; Rhodophyta; Florideophyceae; Gracilariales; Gracilariaceae. The record is from RNAcentral.
GGGCUAUUAGCUCAGGUGGUUAGAGCACACCCCUGAUAAGGGUGAGGUCCCUGGUUCAAAUCCAGGAUAGCCCA